Molecule: ribosomal RNA, 332 nt
Filed under: Brevibacterium sp.
Lineage: Bacteria; Bacillati; Actinomycetota; Actinomycetes; Micrococcales; Brevibacteriaceae
Description: bacterial SSU rRNA
Rfam family: Bacterial small subunit ribosomal RNA
Source: RNAcentral
UUCAUGGAGAGUUUGAUCCUGGCUCAGGACGAACGCUGGCGGCGUGCUUAACACAUGCAAGUCGAACGAUGAUGGUGGUGCUUGCACCGCCUGAUUAGUGGCGAACGGGUGAGUAACACGUGAGUAACCUGCCCCCCUCUUCGGGAUAACCUCGAGAAAUCGAGGCUAAUACCGGAUAUGAGCUUCCGCCGCAUGGUGGUUGCUGGAAAGUUUUUCGGUGGGGGAUGGACUCGCGGCCUAUCAGUUUGUUGGUGAGGUAAUGGCUCACCAAGGCGAUGACGGGUAGCCGGCCUGAGAGGGCGACCGGCCACACUGGGACUGAGACACGGCCC